AAGUCGUAACAAGGUUUCCGUAGGUGAACCUGCGGAAGGAUCAUUAACGAGAUAAUGCUACUGCUCUACUGCGGUGGAGUGUAGUCAUUCAAUAAUGAUAAUAAUUUGUUGAACGAUAGUCGCUCGUUUUAGCGUAAAGCUAAAAAUUGAAUUAUGUUAACGAGUAUGCUAGUUGGUUAAUGAUGUGCAUGCACGCUUAAUUGCGUGCGUGUACAUAGAGCGACCGAACUACUGACUGCUGCUCGGGGUACGGCCCGUAGUGUAAUGCUACGGUGAGUCGUACCUGUGUCAUUUUUAAAUUUGAGUAAUAAAAUUCGCGUACGCGUGUUUAAGCGCGAGUACGUGUAGACUUGUGAAAGAGAGAAUAAUAAUAAAAUGCAUAACUGCAAACGGUGGAUCACUCGGCUCAC
Molecule: unclassified non-coding RNA, 410 nt
Filed under: fungal sp.
Lineage: Eukaryota; Fungi
Description: partial internal transcribed spacer region
Rfam family: Eukaryotic small subunit ribosomal RNA (bases 1-46)
Source: RNAcentral